AUUGAACGCUGGCGGCAGGCCUAACACAUGCAAGUCGAGCGGAGCGGCGGACGGGUGAGUAAUGCCGAGGAAUCUGCCUGGUAGUGGGGGAUCACGUCCGGAAACGGGCGCUAAUACCGCAUACUAGCAGAUGAGCCUAGGUCGGAUUAGCUAUUUGGUGGGGUAAAGGAUUACCAAGGCGACGAUCCGUAACUGGUCUGAGAGGAUGAUCAGUCACACUGGAACGGAGACACGGUCCAGACUCCUACGGGAGGCAGCAGUGGGGAAUAUUGGACAAUGGGCGAAAGCCUGAUCCAGCCAUGCCGCGUGUGUGAAGAAGGUUUUCGGAUUGUAAAGCACUGUAAGUUGGGAGGCGUUACCAAAAGAAUAAGCCCCGGCUAACUUCGUGCCAGCAGCCGCGGUAAUAC
RNAcentral lists this ribosomal RNA (407 nucleotides) under uncultured bacterium. RNAcentral's name for it is "partial 16S ribosomal RNA". It matches the Rfam family "Bacterial small subunit ribosomal RNA", at positions 30 to 526 of the family's 1533-position model. The record is from RNAcentral.